This 250-nucleotide ribosomal RNA is filed under the name uncultured prokaryote. RNAcentral describes it as "partial 16S ribosomal RNA". It matches the Rfam family "Bacterial small subunit ribosomal RNA", at positions 524 to 773 of the family's 1533-position model. The record is from RNAcentral.
UACGUAGGUGGCAAGCGUUGUCCGGAAUGACUGGGCGUAAAGGGAGCGUAGGUGGUGACUUAUGUUAAAUGUGAAAGACCGGGGCUUAACUCCGGAACUGCAUUUAAUACUGGGCCACUAGAGUACAGGAGGGGUAAGCGGAAUUCCUAGUGUAGCGGUUAAAUGCGUAGAUAUUAGGGGGAACACCAGAGGCGAAGGCGGCUUACUGGACUGCAACUGACACUGAGGCUCGAAAGCGUGGGGAUCAAAC